GAUGAACGCUGGCGGCGUGCUUAACACAUGCAAGUCGAACGAAGCACUUUAUUUGAUUUCCUUCGGGACUGAUUAUUUUGUGACUGAGUGGCGGACGGGUGAGUAACGCGUGGGUAACCUGCCUUGUACAGGGGGAUAACAGUUGGAAACGGCUGCUAAUACCGCAUAAGCGCACGGCAUCGCAUGAUGCAGUGUGAAAAACUCCGGUGGUAUAAGAUGGACCCCGCGUUGGAUUAGCUAGUUGGUGAGGUAACGGCCCACCAAGGCGACGAUCCAUAGCCGACCUGAGAGGGUGACCGGCCACAUUGGGACUGAGACACGGCCCAAAACUCCUACGGGAGGCAGCAGUGGGGAAUAUUGCACAAUGGGCGAAAGCCUGAUGCAGCGACGCCGCGUGAGCGAAGAAGUAUUCGGUAUGUAAAGCUCUAUCAGCAGGGAAGAUAAUGACGGUACCUGACUAAGAAGCCCCGGCUAACUACGUGCCAGCAGCCG
RNAcentral lists this ribosomal RNA (492 nucleotides) under uncultured bacterium. RNAcentral describes it as "bacterial SSU rRNA". It matches the Rfam family "Bacterial small subunit ribosomal RNA", at positions 28 to 517 of the family's 1533-position model. The record is from RNAcentral.